Molecule: long non-coding RNA, 1314 nt
Organism: Orbicella faveolata
Lineage: Eukaryota; Metazoa; Cnidaria; Anthozoa; Scleractinia; Merulinidae
Source: RefSeq, a predicted model, not a curated record
AAAUUACAUCUCCCCAGGAAAUCAUCUGUCAAGUUUCCACUUCGAUUCUUGCAUCGCUCGUAAAAGUAAUCAAUGAGCGAAAGGAAAAAUAAACAAGUUUCUCGGGCGGCCAGAUUGUUGCCUUACAUUUUGUUAGCUUAGGCAGUGCUAAGGCACUUGUUAAAAAUGUUCGAUUGUACAAAUUCUAACCAUCCAUUUUAUUAGCACGAUAAUCAUGCAAUUUGAGUGGAUUUGUGAUACGAAACUGUAUUUUGCACUAGCAUUAAUUUUGCUGAGUUUAGAACACAAAAUUAUUCCAUAUUUAAAGGAAGUUAGAUCGGGACAUGAUAUUACUCUUAAGCAAGGACAAGUUUUCCUACAAAACAUAAUUAAAUUAAAUUAUUGAAUUAAAUGACCGAUGAAGACGUUUCCAUGAUUUAUGAUACCUUCGCAUGUGCCGAUUUUAACAAACUAGACCUUUAAUUAAGGAAGCGGCAUGUUUCCAAACGGUAAUUGAUAAGCACUUUCCUUGGGAAAAAAAAAAAGAGCAGAUUUUGCAUGCACAAGAUCACUUUCCUAAUGAUGAGGCUUCUUUAUUUUGAAGCCCUGGCCAAACGAACUCGCAAGUAGUUGCAAGUCGUCGUAAGUUGGACUCGAGUAUAGACUUGUCUCUGUCAGAAGGUUGCACGACGAGUGUGUUUUAGGGCGCAUGUCAGAAUUUACCCAGUAUAGCCUGUCGUUUAAAGAGUGAUCAUUUGAAUUCGAGGUAGAAUAAUGUUCGUUUUUGAUGCCCAAAAAUACAAUUAAAACCAUGUAAUCUAGAUAGGGCUGAUCUUCUUUUGUACCCAUAUUGUUAAUUUAAUAGCGGAAGUUUGAUGCUUAAUUUUCCAUGAAAGGAAAUAAAAGCGAAAUAUCUCUACCCAUACAAACUUAAGAGAAGUCGAUCGAAAUACUGAUUGUCUACUUUUGCCGUUUUCAAGCAUUGAAGGAAUGAAGGCCCAAACUGUGUUAGUUCUUGCCGCUCUUUUUCUGCUCGCAAAUCUCGUUACUAAUAGUCACGCGUUUAGCCCGCCUCUACCAGGAAAGAAAAGAGAGUUGGAAAGAAAGCUGCAGAUUGAGAGAGGCGCAAUGAAUCUUCGUGAUCUUAAAAGAACCGUUGCAUGCGGGGGACUGGAGAGGAAAGCAUCCGACGAUUACAAUGAAGAAAAAGGAAAAUAAACAAGUAUAAUUAAAGGACUGAUUAAAACAAUGUUAUAUGACGAUUAUCACCCCGGAUGACGAAAAUACUGUAACCUAAUGGAUUAUCAUAGCAAACAAAUAAAAUGUAAAGAUUAA